AUCGCUUCUCGGCCUUUUGGCUAAGAUCAAGUGUAGUAUCUGUUCUUAUCCGUUUAAUAUCUGAUACGUCCCCCAGCGGGGGACUACAUAUUAAGCGGCUCCACGCAUCGACCCAGUAUUGCAGUGCCUCUGGGAGCGGUGCACUUUCA
This is a small nuclear RNA of 149 nucleotides. Its record names the gene U2. It matches the Rfam family "U2 spliceosomal RNA". From Rfam's summary of the family: U2 is a small nuclear RNA (snRNA) component of the spliceosome (involved in pre-mRNA splicing). Complementary binding between U2 snRNA (in an area lying towards the 5' end but 3' to hairpin I) and the branchpoint sequence (BPS) of the intron results the bulging out of an unpaired adenosine, on the BPS, which initiates a nucleophilic attack at the intronic 5' splice site, thus starting the first of two transesterification reactions that mediate splicing. The record is from Ensembl.